GUUUGGCUAAAUACAGUGUUGUUUUUAAUCAAUAUUUUACACAGCUAGACACCAUGCAAAAGUAAUUUUCUUUUGAAAUGGCUUUUGAGGGUAUGCUGUUUUUUCAUGUCAUAUCAUUAUUAAAAGUGCCUGCAAUU
This is a small nucleolar RNA of Sorex araneus (European shrew), 137 nucleotides long. Lineage: Eukaryota; Metazoa; Chordata; Mammalia; Eulipotyphla; Soricidae. The record is from Ensembl.